GUGGUGCACAGUCUCAGUUUCUUGUGGAAAAUCAUCGCAGUAGGACGUAUUUGUGACCGGCUUCGGUGACGCAAUUAUUAUCUGCUUACUGAUCCGACUUCAAAGGCGGGAAAAAUUCCAAUAUGGCCGCCAACGUACUUUUUCAAAGAGAAGUUCGAUCUUUUGCUUCUGAAUUAAAGCAGCUAUUAUAUAUUUGAAGAAAUUGGAGUAUUGUGAAAUCAAUCAACGAAAAUGAAUAUUUCAUAUGGUAUCUUUUCUUUUGCUUCGAUUAUUAACAUUUUUCUAUAAGAAGGGCCCUUCGAUUUUAGAUUGGUAUAUAGUCAAUAUAUAGAUAUAUAGGUAAUACCUUUGAUAUGAGUAGAGAAAUAUACAUUUAGAUUUUAUAAACUAACAUCAUCAUUCUGAUCAAUAAAAAAUAUUUGUAUUUUAUGUAAUCCUCUCGAUUUUAUUAAGAUUUUUCUGAAUAAAAAUAAAUUCCCUAAAUGUUUAAAUGUUUAUAUGUACUUUUAGAUUUAUAUUAGGUAGGGAUUAAAAAUAAAUGUAGGUAGGGAUUGUAAAGAAUAGUAGAUUGGAGUUAAAUAAAAUGAAACUAUUUUGAAUUAAUAUUCUUUAAGGAUCAUAUUAUGUUACAUUCAUAAUUAGAAUAUUUUUAAGUUUAGUUUUAUUUUAAGAUUUAUGAAAUAUUUGUAUGUAUAAGUUUAGUUAUAUAAGUAUAUGGUUUGUAGAAUUGCUGCUGUAGAAAUAUUGCUUAAAGUAGAAUAUAUUUGCAUGGCAUGUAUAAUUGUAAUAGUAGUAGUAGUAGUAGUAGUAGUUGAUAUUAAAAAUGAUCAUGAUGAAUAAAAUGAAUAUAAUUCUGUAUGGAAUACAUUUAAUAUUUUUUUAAUUCUAUAUAUUUUGAGUGUUCAAUUUCAUAAUUUUUAAUAUUUUAUAUUUCUGUGAUAAUGAAUGUUUAAAAUAUUGACACGUUCUUAUCUGUAAAGUAUCUGUAUCUCAUAUAGAGUUAAAUAUGAUCGAAGUAUAUUUUAAUUUUUACUUUCAGGUUUAGCUUUCGCGUCGGUUUUCCUUCGAAUUCCUUUUGCUGUUUGUUUUGCACAACGACUAAAGAUGAUGCGUUUUGCAAAUCUACAUCAAAAGGAAGAUUUGUUUUUGUUUUUUAAUUAAAUUGUUACGUAAGGAGGGUGGAUGGAAUCGUGGAUAGGGUGGGUCUCCAAUUCGCAGCAACCUCCACGCGGUGAGACCUGGAAAAUCAUUAUUAUUUUCUAUAAAAUUCAUAAUCGUAUUUAUGAUAUAAUUGUAAAUUUUAUAGGAAAUAAUAUGAGCUAAUUGGCUGCGCUCGCGAUUACAACGAUUAUUUUUGCAUAUAGUUAUUAAAAUUUAUUUAAUAAAUUAUUGAUAACAUCUUUAUUUUUAUUUAUAAAGAUUAUCUUUUUUUCUUUUUCGAAAAGAAAUAUGCAAUUUAUUGUAUAGUAUUGUAUAGAAUUAAUUAAUUAAUAAUAAUUUUUGAUAAAAAAAUUCAAUGAAUUUCAAUAAGUUGGAUUUCUUUUUGUUAUUCUUUUGCCAAAUAAUUUGAAAAUUAAUUAUUUCAUAAAUUUUUAUUAUUUUAUGUGUACUGUUAAUUCAUUAUUUAUGAUUAUCGCCAGAAUUAUAAAUUAUAUGAAUUAUAUUGAUAAUAAAAUUUUUGAUUAUGUUGCGAAUGAUAUAAAAA
Long non-coding RNA from Apis cerana (Asiatic honeybee), 1705 nucleotides. RefSeq lists it as uncharacterized. NCBI's taxonomy places the organism in Eukaryota, Metazoa, Arthropoda, Insecta, Hymenoptera, Apidae. The record is from RefSeq and is a predicted model, not a curated record.